UACCGGUAUAUCUUUCUCAUUAUUGGCCCUCUUUCUGUCUUUCCUUUCCACCUUUUGCAUUCAUUUUCCUAGCCCUGUGGCUCUAACAAACCAAACAAGUAAUGAGCCCUGUAUGGACAUAGAAAUUUGGGUACCAUAUCCCAUUGCAAUUUUCCUAUUAUUACUUGGUUGAUUAAUAUUUCCAAUUGCAUCAUCAUGGACAUGGAGCAAAGUCAGCAAACAAGUGAUGAUGGAAUAUGAAUGCUCUUGCUUUGCUUGUGUGAGUAAGUUUAUUUACAACCCUUGUUUCACUUUGUAUUGAUCUUGCUUGUGUUAUUUCUUUACAAUUCAGAUUGCUUGUGAAUCCUAAAUUUAUACCUUAAAGAUGGAGAUAGCAGUUCUUCUUUAAUAUAAAUGGUUCCAAUAUAAUACUGUUUUUUGCACACAAGACAUAUCCAACUUCAGUUCUUUCACUUAGUUUUUGACCUGUGUAUUUUUAAUUGUUGUCAUGUCAUUGUUCUCUUGCAUUUUGCAUUUUCAUCUCGCAAUUAACUGUGUUGACACUAAUGUAUGGCCAAUCCAUUGUGCUUAAUCAGUAAUUAUCACACAGUAUAUACAGUUUAAUAUUGCAUUGAUAUAUUGUUCGAAAUUGUUUUUGUUAGACCUGUGUGAAGUUAAAUCAUUAAUGCAAUAACAUAUCUCAAGAAGAGAACAAAGCAAUUCCGAUGAGGGAAAUGCUAUAUCCAACAUAUAUAUACAAUGGAAAGCGAAGCAAGUGAAUUACACAACUCUUCCACUGCAAUACAGUGAUUAAUUUAGUCUUACCUGUAACUUGUAUGUGUAAAAGCCUAGAUGGGAUACAUGCUUCUCUUAUAAUAGAGGUGUUGUCAAGAGAUUAAUUUAGAGUGAAAAGCUGAGUGAAUGUAAAUUGAAGCAAGGCUGCCUUCUCUUUGCACCUAUCAUGAAACCUGGCGACUUUUCCUUGAUGAUUGAUGCCACUGAUUGUUUCAUCGAUUCAGGUCCACAAACCAAGACUCCUAUAUCGGAACUGCUAGUUUGACUUGGAAAUUUUGAAAAGAUAUCUGGUAACAUUAACCAUGUGUGAUAAUUAGUCUAUACUCUGAUUCUACUACACUGAGUUUAAUAUUUGUAGAACAAUAGUAUGAGUAAAUCUUUAAAUACAAUACCUUCAAAGUCAGGCCUCCGUCCAUAGAAAACUUCAUGUUCCUCAAGAGUAGCACUUGCUUCUAUAUUAUUCAGUUCAGUGCCUUUACUGUAUUUCUGAUAAACUGGGGAAAUAUCUUUCUUCAUUUUUCUCCAUCUUAAAAUACCUAUGGCCAGAAUGCUGCAAAUUGUAGCUAUACUAAACGAACAGAUAAGAAUAAGAUCUGUAACCCAAGACGGGUUCUUCUUGCCAGACGAUUCUUUUUCUUGGUGAAACAUAUGGUUUAGGCAUAUUAGUGCCAAAAGGAAUAUUUUUGAGGAUAAACCUGCCACUGCAGCCAUCCGCAGAAAACUCUCAAUUCCAGAUGUUGUAUAAUUCAGAGAUUUUGGGUCGAAGUUUACUGUCUGCACCUUAGGCAUCUCUUUUAUCCAUUCUUUCAUUGUUGUAGCAUCUCUCUCUUCUUGGGUCACAUAUAUGCUUACUUUUAAUUGUAGCUGGUUCAUUGAUUGGUUUAGAAGUAUAUGCAAAAUUGAGUUCAAAAGAUUGAUGUCCUGUGACUUCUUCGUUGCAUAUAUUAGUUGAAUUCUUGUGGGGAGUGCGCUCUUGUUGCUGUUUUGUGCCGAACCAAUCUCCUGCAAUGUGCUUAGAAAUGGAGUUAAUCCAAUUCCACCAGCAACUAGUAGUAAGCUGUCAUAUCUGCAGUGAAGAUUGAUGCCAUUGUUAAAUUAGUAAGGUAACGUAUCAGUUGAUCAAUGCAAAGCAAUGAGCUAAGAUCACUAUAUCAGUGGAUGAAACAGAAGUGUUUUGUUUGAGUAUUAUGCUCCCACAUACCUUAGGAAUUCUGUUGAUGCUGGUCCAUAAGGGCCUUCAACUGAAAUAGGGAGGCAUUUCGCCUGAUUAGCUCCAGAGUCUACAGCAGCAAGGAUUUUGUUGUAGAGUGAGUUCGUCCACCACCCUUCGCUUCUGACUAGGACAGUUACUCUUUCGUCAUCAACACUGAAGCUAGAAGUUAUACUAAAAGGGUGCCACUGGAACUUUGAAAUACUUGGCACUUUUAGGAAUAUCACACUAGUUGGGGUGUAUACCAAUCCUGUAGAUAUUAUAAAUUCAUGGUUUAGAUAAAUUCACAAAUCAGAUAUUCUCUGUGUAUACUUGAUUGACUGAAAGGACGAUAGGACUUACUUGGAUGUUUGGAGAGAGUAAGCUCUACAGCAUUGGAAGAUAAUAGGGAUGCAGAAAGAAGAUAUGUUCCUGGUUUGGACUGUAUGAUACGUAGGAGCUUAUCCAGAGCAAAUAGAAGAAUCCCAGAGAACACCAUGUAAAAGUGCCGAUCUCCAACAUGAAACAAGAAAAAUACCAAGAAAACAACGUAUAAAUGGUGAGUGUAGUAGAACAAUUCAAACUUUUUCCGCCUUAUUUGUGGAAGUGAUGUGAUCCAGAUAACUAGCCCCGUUACAAGGGCAAUUUCUCCAGCAAGGUACACUCGACCUGUUUUCUGCCACAUCCAAAUCUGUUUUUCAAGGAAAUUAGAGUCAGUCAUGAGUUUAAAUAUGUUUUAUUAACACCCUAGUUCGUAUAAUACAAAAUUUAGUGCAGGCUGUUGAAGGAGAAGUGAGACUUUGUGCAAGGUUUAUAUAUAUCAUAAUGUAGUGACAGAGAAGAGAUUCAGAUUUUGUUACUAGUUUAGUAACUUUACGUCUGAAAGUUACUUUUAUGUUGUUUUCUACAUCUAUUUGCUUAGACAUAACAAUACCUGUCAAACAUCAUUCACUCAAUUCAUUAUGAUUUUGUAUAGCUAGUUAGCUACAAAUCUGCAAUGCUUUAUAGUAUACCAAGUAGGACUUGCAAUACACAUGAGAGAGUGGUAAUAUCAGAAGUAAAGAUAAUUUACCUUGUCUUGAAGUCGAUGUUUGAUGCCCCAAAUAAAUAAUGUGCUUAAACCAUGCAAUGUGCUGAAAAAAAUCAUUGCGGUUCCAAGAAAGAUGUGAUAUCUUAUUGAAGCUUCAAAUUGCAAGCCAAUUAGACGAAAUAUGGACAUCCCCCUUGCGACAGGAAGAAGGAGAAGUGCUAAGCAUGCUUCUGCUAGCAAACCAAACCUUGUCCCCAACUUCAUGAACUUAUACUGCCAACUGAAAUGCAUGUGAAGUAUCAGUGUUGUGAACAUUUUGUAUUCAAAUAACAGAAGAUUUUUAGAUUACUCACAUAUUCAGCUUUAAUGAUUUUACAGGUAGCUUCUUGUUGAAGUCUUUUGAGAUGUGAGCAUACAUGGUC
RNAcentral lists this long non-coding RNA (3415 nucleotides) under Aquilegia coerulea. Its description in RNAcentral is "long non-coding RNA (ACOE_LNC001014)". The record is from RNAcentral. Lineage: Eukaryota; Viridiplantae; Streptophyta; Magnoliopsida; Ranunculales; Ranunculaceae.